CCAGCCUGUGCCGCCGCCCCCCGUGUUACACGUGUCCCCGGGGAAAGAGCCCCAUUCCCCUCUCCUGGUCAGCCCCAGCUGAAGACCUUCCCCUGCUGCUCCCCCUGAUGUUACAGGGAGGAUCCCAUGCCCACUCCUCCUUUGUUUGACUGAGCCCCAGAGUGGGUCAGAGUGAGACUAACCUAGAGAAACCACCAGAGCAGCCAAGCAGGGCAUAUGGCCUCCUAAGCUGCCAGCACUAAGCUCUGAUUCACCCUGUCGUCUCUCUGUCCCAUGGUGUAUGUUAAACACAGGGUGCGUGAGAACAAUUUCUAGGUUAUUAUCCGGCUGCUGAACGCACAGGCAGGGAGAGGUACUUGUAGGGGACAAACAUAUACUGUGAAACAGUCAUUAUAUAAGAACUGUAUUUUUCAACAAGAAAUUUAGACUGUACCUAUCUUAGGAAAGACUAGAGCAUUUAUUUACUGUACCAUAUGGCUAUAGGGGGAAGGGAGGAAGAAAUGUCUGCCAAUUGCUAAACCAGUGGCAGAUAUAUGUAUUUCUUGGUUCAUUCAUUAUAUCCACGAGUCAGAAUAACACAAUGAAUGUUUAACAGGUUCAAAAAUUCAAAUGAUUCCCAUUAAUUUCCAUUGAUUAUUUUAGCCAUCACAUAUUUGUCUAUGGGACUUUCAAGGUUUUUUCACCAAUUAGGCUUGAGACGUUUUCCUUUUACUGCAUGAUCUGAACAGAGUUUAAAUGGUUCCAGAAAACACAUCAAUAUAACAAGCAAGGGUCUAUUCUCAGUACCAUGCUCAAAACACAAUAGUAAUUUUAUCACUCCCUUUUUUUUAUUUUAUACACUAAAAAAAUAACCAGAUUGAAAUUUGGUAAUUGUUGCUGACCCAUGUUCCUACCUCUGUUAAUAUCUAUGCAGAUCUUACAGUCAUUUAAAAAGGUCAUAGGAUUUAGUUUUAUUUUAAAUGACAACGUUUAUGCUUGUAAAGAAAAAAGCAUGCAGCAUAUGAUCCUAGAAAACAGUACUAAAAUUAAAUGCAAAGGGAUAUGUUAUUGCAAAAUUGAACAUGCAAAAAGUUACAAAAUUCAGUUAAGGUUCCCACAGCAACGAUAGAUUGGCCAUGGCACACACAUAACAGAUGUAAUAUUUUGGGGGCUGUGCUGGUAAAGAUAUGCUUUAAUAUGACAAAGUUAAUAUUGCAUUGGUGAUUUUAACCACAGAAUUUCCUGUGGACUUUCUUUCCUUAGUCUUGUGUGUUCAGCAUUAGCCAGAUGUAAAUUCUGAGUAAAUUAUUGAGAAUGCUGGGAGAUGGUGCUGUUUAGCUUUGACAUAAUGAGAUGGUAUUGCCUGUAUACUAGCUGUACUUUUAAUCUAUGUUGGUUCACCAGCUCUUCCAGUGAUUUAAAAAUAGAUGUUGAAUAACAAGAGGUGAUAAUACAUAGAUCCUUACUGAAUAAUGUGGGGGAGAGGCAUAGUUGCCCAUAACUACCCUCUGGUUCAGUUUGAAAGAACCUGAAACAUUUAAGGGCAUUCACCUUAGAUGUUUCUUUUCAGGAUAGGCAUAUUUGGUAUUCAGUGUCAUUGCACACCAUAAGUACAGAUGUACUUUAUCUCUUGGCAGGACUUCUCCCUCCUAUAGAAAAAUCCUUUGCACGUAAGAAGAGAGCCAUGACUUUGAUUCAUCUGCACCCACCUAAAGCCUAAUUUGCUUCCAAAGAGUUCUGAGUCUGAAUAGAAACACCAUAAAAUGGCUCGAGCCCAUUGUGGUUUGGAAACUGGAUACUCCUGAAAAUCUGACCCAAUUUAUUUUUAAAAGUUUAUUACCUUUGUUAUUAUUAUUUUGAAUUUGGUACUGUUUGCCAUUGGAACUACUGUUGCAGAAGUCAUGAAAGAGGAAGAACAGAAAUGUUUUAAAAUAAACACAGCAAAAAUAUGUGAGGAGAAUGUUCAGUUGAAAAGAGAGAAGUUUUUCAUCAGAUAAUUUCAACAGAGUGGCUGAAUAGGGAACACAAGGAAGCCAAUCACAACAGUCAUUUGCAUUAGCAAAAGAAGAUAUUGCAUUAGUAAAUUUGUUCUACACCUUUUUAAGUGACUGUGAGUGCCCACCAUUAAAAGUUUGUAAUAAUUUUGUCAGCCAUUUAGCAUAUUUCUCAAUGUAACACUUUUAUUAAAUACCUUUAGAUUAGGCAUCAUUUCACUGAUAUCAUAAUGCAGCGUGGGUUUAAUGAAAAAGAACAUAUGACAAUAACAGUAACAAUGUGAAAAGUAGCAGAAGUAAGAUGUUCUCUGGACUGUAUGCACAUAAUUCACUGUAUGUUGUCCCACUCUGGACCUAAAAUGGCUGUUUUGCAGGAUGCUGUUGCUUGGUGACCAAGAGUGCAUCUCCUAGGCCACAGAGAGAUGUGAACAUUCAGAGAUUGAUUCGUUCCUGCUGUUCUUGAGGAGACCAGGCCAGUAAAAUAGAAGUCUAUGUGUAACUAUCUACUAGUCCACUUGCCUGCACAUUUAAGUUGAUAUUUAAAACAGGCUUGUAAUUUUGUGAUGCUCACCAAACAAGCAAUGGGAAAAAUGGAAUAAAACCUAGCAUGUCACUGCCCAUGAAAUACAAAAAGUAGACCAAGCCUCUGUACUCUAAGCCUACAAGAUACCCUUGCUCCAAUUAAGUCUGCGUUGUAUGUCUAGUCUGUUCCGGUGCAACCUCCCAGUUGCUAUCAGUCUCUCUUUCUUUCAUUAGAAUCAAGUAGUUAAUUAGCCCCAGCCAGUCCUCUUCCCUUCU
This is a non-coding RNA of Pelodiscus sinensis (Chinese soft-shelled turtle), 2771 nucleotides long. The record is from RefSeq and is a predicted model, not a curated record. NCBI's taxonomy places the organism in Eukaryota, Metazoa, Chordata, Testudines, Trionychidae.